RNAcentral lists this ribosomal RNA (243 nucleotides) under uncultured eukaryote. Its description in RNAcentral is "partial 18S ribosomal RNA". It matches the Rfam family "Eukaryotic small subunit ribosomal RNA", at positions 629 to 868 of the family's 1831-position model. The record is from RNAcentral.
CGUAGUUGGAUUUCUGGUACGGCGCGUUUGGCCGACACCCGUUAGGGUGUUCUGUGCCGUGCGCGCCUGCCAUCUUUCUAGAAAACCUCUCUACCCUUCACUGGGCCGGAUUGGCAGAUCUAGAACUUUUACUUUGAAAAAAUUAGAGUGUUUAAAGCAGGCUUGUGCUAUGAAUACAUUAGCAUGGAAUAAUAAUUUAGGACUUUGGUCCUAUUUUGUUGGUUUCUAGGACCGAAGUAAUGA